AGUGGGAUAGCUGGGUCAAAUGGUGAUUCCAUUUCAUGUUUUCUGAGAAAUCUCCAUACUGCUUUCUAGAACUGUUGCACAAUUUUGCAGUCCCACCAGCAAU
Molecule: microRNA precursor, 103 nt
Filed under: Marmota monax (woodchuck)
Lineage: Eukaryota; Metazoa; Chordata; Mammalia; Rodentia; Sciuridae
Source: RNAcentral